This 515-nucleotide ribosomal RNA is filed under the name uncultured bacterium. RNAcentral's name for it is "partial 16S ribosomal RNA". It matches the Rfam family "Bacterial small subunit ribosomal RNA", at positions 28 to 523 of the family's 1533-position model. The record is from RNAcentral.
GAUGAACGCUGGCGGCGUGCCUAAUACAUGCAAGUCGAGCGAAUGGAUUAAGAGCUUGCUCUUAUGAAGUUAGCGGCGGACGGGUGAGUAACACGUGGGUAACCUGCCCAUAAGACUGGGAUAACUCCGGGAAACCGGGGCUAAUACCGGCUAACAUUUUGAACCGCAUGGAUCGAAAUUGAAAGGCGGCUGCGGCUGUCACUUAUGGAUGGAUCCGCGUCGCAUUAGCUAGUUGGUGAGGUAACGGCUCACCAAGGCAACGAUGCGUAGCCGACCUGAGAGGGUGAUCGGCCACACUGGGACUGAGACACGGCCCAGACUCCUACGGGAGGCAGCAGUAGGGAAUCUUCCGCAAUGGACGAAAGUCUGACGGAGCAACGCCGCGUGAGUGAUGAAGGCUUUCGGGUCGUAAAACUCUGUUGUUAGGGAAGAACAAGUGCUAGUUGAAUAAGCUGGCACCUUGACGGUACCUAACCAGAAAGCCACGGCUAACUACGUGCCAGCAGCCGCCGUAA